GAUGAACGCUGGCGGCGUGCCUAAUACAUGCAAGUCGAGCGAACGGACGAGAAGCUUGCUUCUCUGAUGUUAGCGGCGGACGGGUGAGUAACACGUGGAUAACCUACCUAUAAGACUGGGAUAACUUCGGGAAACCGUAGCAAAUACCGGAUAAUAUUUUGAACCGCAUGGUUCAAAAGUGAAAGACGGUCUUGCUGUCACUUAUAGAUGGAUCCGCGCUGCAUUAGCUAGUUGGUAAGGUAACGGCUUACCAAGGCAACGAUGCAUAGCCGACCUGAGAGGGUGAUCGGCCACACUGGAACUGAGACACGGUCCAGACUCCUACGGGAGGCAGCAGUAGGGAAUCUUCCGCAAUGGGCGAAAGCCUGACGGAGCAACGCCGCGUGAGUGAUGAAGGUCUUCGGAUCGUAAAACUCUGUUAUUAGGGAAGAACAUAUGUGUAAGUAACUGUGCACAUCUUGACGGUACCUAAUCAGAAAGCCACGGCUAACUACGUG
This 497-nucleotide ribosomal RNA is filed under the name uncultured bacterium. RNAcentral describes it as "partial 16S ribosomal RNA". It matches the Rfam family "Bacterial small subunit ribosomal RNA", at positions 28 to 507 of the family's 1533-position model. The record is from RNAcentral.